Molecule: ribosomal RNA, 691 nt
Filed under: uncultured bacterium
Lineage: Bacteria
Description: bacterial SSU rRNA
Rfam family: Bacterial small subunit ribosomal RNA
Source: RNAcentral
CCCUUAGAGUUUGAUCCUGGCUCAGAAUGAACGUUGGCGGCGUGGAUUAGGCAUGCAAGUCGUGCGAUAAGUGUAGCAAUACACGGAAAGCGGCGAAAGGGAGAGUAAUACGUGGGUAUCUACCUCGGGACCUGGGAUAGCGGCGGGAAACUGCCGGUAAUACCAGAUGAUGUCUCCGGACCAAAGGUGUGAUUCCGUCCUAAGAGGAGCCCACGUGCUAUUAGCUAGUUGGCAGGGUAAUGGCCUACCAAGGCGAAGAUGGCUAUGGGGUGUGAGAGCAUGCCCCCACUCACUGGGACUGAGACGCUGCCCAGACACCUACGGGUGGCUGCAGUCGAGAAUCUUCGGCAAUGGGCGAAAGCCUGACCGAGCGACGCCGCGUGCGGGAUGAAGGCCUUCGGGUUGUAAACCGCUGUCGUAGGGGAGGAAGGUCUUGUGCAGAACAAGACUUGACCGAUCCUAGGAGGAAGGGCCGGCUAAUCUCGUGCCAGCAGCCGCGGUAAUACGAGAGGCCCAAACGUUAUUCGGAUUCACUGGGCUUAAAGAGUUCGUAGGCGGUCUGGAAAGUUGGGUGUGAAAGCCCUCGGCUCAACCGAGGAACUGCGCUCAAAACUACCAGACUUGAGGGAGAUAGAGGUGAGCAGAACUGAUGGUGGAGCGGUGAAAUGCGUUGAUAUCAUCAGAACACCGG